Triticum aestivum (bread wheat) is the source of this 2548-nucleotide long non-coding RNA. RefSeq lists it as uncharacterized. The record is from RefSeq and is a predicted model, not a curated record. The transcript is spliced from 4 exons. NCBI's taxonomy places the organism in Eukaryota, Viridiplantae, Streptophyta, Magnoliopsida, Poales, Poaceae.
ACGAUAUAUGCCGACGGCCGGCCGUCCAGGCCGUCGGCAUAGAUUUGACGACGUUAGCCGCUGGUCACGGGCGGGGUCGCCGGGCCCACGGGUAUGCCGACGGCCUGGUUAUGCCGACGGCUGCUGUCGCCAUGUUCGCAGCUGGGCCGACGACAUAUGUAUGCCGACGGGUGCCGUCGGCUUAGCUCGUGGUAGCCCGACGGCCAAGGUACGCCGACGACCAAGACGUGGCUGUCGGCAUAGCGCAAAGUAGGCCGACGGCAGCCGUCGGCAUUGAUUUGGCCGUCGGGGUAGGGCCAGUUUCCGGUAGUGCAUAGAUUUAUCCUAAUCAUAUGUUCAGAUAAAAUAGUUCAGGUUCAUAUCUAUGCUCAAUUUGAAAUUAAAUAUGGUAUGUGCCUUUUGAAUCUGCAAUAGUUUCAGCCUGUAGGCUUUACUUUGCUUUUGAAUCUGUAGUAUUUUCAGCUUGGUUUUGGUUAUAUGCUUGAACAUAAUAACUCAAGUUUGUAUUUAUGUGUGGUUACAAAUAAAUAAGAGAAGCAUUCUUGUAGGCUUUACUUGUGCUUUCAAAUCUGUAGUAUUUUCAACUUGUUUUUGUUGUAUGCUUGAACAGAAUAACUCAAGUUUGCAUUUAUGUGUGCUAACAAAUAAAUAAGAGAAGCAUUUGUUAUGUUUGAAGCAACAACAGACUGUACAAGCCGGGGUGAUUUUUGUCGUACCAUACAAAAUCAAUGAGACAAACCGUUUGUUUUCAAUCUCGCUUGUGCAUUUCUUGUGUCUUAUCUUAUAGUCGUCGUUGCUAUAUGCUUUACUUUGAGAACAGAUGGACUCUUUUAUGUUGAUCUUGAGAGAAAUUUCCUUUUUAGUUUUUCUUAGAUGUACUUUGAUCUGCUGUGAGUCUUGUGGUCCCAAUCACUAUGUUUAUUUUAUCUUAAUUACGAGUUGUCCUGAAUCCGACGUUGUCCGCACAACUAGGAGGGGGGUGGAGAUGAAAUGGGGCCAAAUGAUCCCGCGGCAACAAUAGCAGAUCUAAAUUCAUGUUGCUAGGGUGCAGACUGACCUGAAUUCGAGGAAAAAUAUGGGGAUGAAAGUGCCAUUUUUCCUGCCAAUUCCAUAUUUCAACAGCUUUCAGAGACACAUCUUCCUUUUUCAGCAGCGUGCCUCUGCGUCAUACAGCGGGCCUCUGUUUCGGAAUAGUCAUAGAAGAUGAUUUUUAGAUUAUUUAUUUGGAAACAUAUAUUGCGCAUACAACUGAAAUCUCCUUAUGUUCAAGUUGAUUUCAGCCACCCUUGGAUCCCUUAGUAUGACUACUUACAUAACCUCAUGUUGGAAGCAAGUUUUUUUGUUUCCCUUCAGUCAUUUUCGUCAUGUGAGAUGAGCCGCUCUAAACUGUAAUGUAGCUUGAGUAUUUAUCUGUACUUGAAGUCUACAAGUGUUUUCUUAAGUAUACCAUAACCACCUGACUGAGAAUAAUUAAUUUCACAAUUGGUAAAUAAACUGAAUUAAGCAUUUCUUAGAUUUUUUGGUUCAGAGCUUUUAUUGUCUCUUUGGUAAUAUGUUGGAGUUUACUUUUCCUAUGGCAUCCAUUUAUUUUGGAAGUUAUUUGCAUGUAUACUGGUAUGCGGUUGUCUGUGUGCCCCCUUACAGCUGCUUAUUAUCUGUAAGUGGUGAAAAAUAUUUUCUUGAGUUUAAUUGUAUGUAUCAAGCCACUUGGUGGAAAGACCUCUUUUGUGUCCUGACAUGUGAAUUGAAUGAUGUGGUUAUAUUAACAUUGCUCUUUGUUUUGCUGUCCGAUUCUUUAUUUCCCUUUGGAUGGACGCUCACGUCGGCGUGCCCCCUUUGGAUGGACGCUCACGUUGGCGUGGGGUAUGGCGGCCGUUGAGGGAGCCGAGCCGGCGGAUGUGGAGGCUGCCGGGCGGCAGUGCUCGCGUGAAGGAGGAAUAUGAUGAUGCAUGGAGUGGCGUGGAGUGCCAACCAUCUCCAUCGAGCGGCGGUGCUCGCAUGAAGGAUGAGUUCGUCACUCCCCUGGCUGUGGCUGCGCAUUCGACUGGCCAGUCAAGGAGCUCUGGCAAGCAGGUCCGCCUACUCUCCUUUCCCCUGAGCUCCUGCAACAACAACAGCUUAUGUGUAGUAUCAGCCAGAGAACUACACAAAUCAUGUUCCUGGACACCCAGCGAGUGUUUAGGAUCCCAGACAGGGCAGUUCUUGACAUGCUCCUGGCACACCUUGGACUAUCACCAGCUCUUUUGCACAUACAUGUGAUGUGAUGAAGCCCAUCCAUUUGUCCGUUCUUCGUCAGGGUCACAAAGUCUUUGUGCCAGGAUUCUUCCCUUUGUAAAUAUGAAAGCGUGUAUGAUCUAUUCACAGACUUGCUCUGCUGCUUUGUAGCCCAACUGAUUAUGUACUCUUGAUCGUCCUCAUGGCAUCUGUCAACUCCAUUGUGAAUCAUCUCUUUAUCCUAAGGCUGUACUCGCUAUGCUAGAAUGAUAGAUGAUAUAGUAAAUACAUCUUUUCUUUUUACAAGGCUCAUAUCGUAAGGAUUGUCGUGUCC